RNAcentral lists this unclassified non-coding RNA (362 nucleotides) under Hevea brasiliensis (rubber tree). Lineage: Eukaryota; Viridiplantae; Streptophyta; Magnoliopsida; Malpighiales; Euphorbiaceae. The record is from RNAcentral.
CGUCAAAGCUCUAUUUGUAAGUCUACAAGGCAUUCUCUACCCCAACUGUAUGCACCCGCUCUUUGUAGAUCAGCAAGUAGCGACAAGUGCAUCAAGUUCACGCGGAACAGUAAUCUUAUUAGCAUCGACCGGCAGAUGUGCGAACUUCUGAGAUAGUCAUGUUAAAGUAAGUGUUUCCCCUCAUUAUGUCUCCUAUAAGUUCUACUCUAAUAUUUCCUCACAUACGUUUUCAAUGUUAAUGUGAGAAUUUGCCAAUUGUCUCACCGUCAAUCGGUAACCCUAAAAGCAACCCUAUACUUGUAGUUUGACGGUGCAUUCCCCUUAGGCACCACAAAUAUGUGCAUCUCUAAGCUCCAUCUCUU